RNAcentral lists this ribosomal RNA (425 nucleotides) under uncultured bacterium. RNAcentral's name for it is "bacterial SSU rRNA". It matches the Rfam family "Bacterial small subunit ribosomal RNA", at positions 356 to 773 of the family's 1533-position model. The record is from RNAcentral.
AGGGAAUUUUCUACAAUGGACGAAAGUCUGAUGGAGCAACGCCGCGUGAACGAUGAAGGUCUUCGGAUUGUAAAGUUCUGUUGUUAGGGACGAAACCGUACCGUUCGAACAGGGCGGUACCUUGACGGUACCUAAUUAGAAAGCCACGGCUAACUACGUGCCAGCAGCCGCGGUAAUACGUAGGUGGCAAGCGUUGUCCGGAAUUAUUGGGCGUAAAGCGCGCGCAGGCGGCUAUGUAAGUCUGAUGUUAAAGCCCGAGGCUCAACCUCGGUUCGCAUUGGAAACUGUGUAGCUUGAGUGCAGAAGAGGAAAGCGGUAUUCCACGUGUAGCGGUGAAAUGCGUAGAGAUGUGGAGGAACACCAGUGGCGAAGGCGACUCUCUGGUCUGUAACUGACGCUGAGGCGCGAAAGCGUGGGGAGCAAAC